UGGGGAAUAUUGGACAAUGGAGGGAACUCUGAUCCAGCAAUUCUGUGUGUGUGAAGAAGGUUUUAGGACUGUAAAACACUUUUAGUAGGGAAGAAAAAAAUGACGGUACCUACAGAAGAAGCAACGGCUAAAUACGUGCCAGCAGCCGCGGUAAUACGUAUGUUGCGAGCGUUAUCCGGAAUUAUUGGGCUUAAAGGGCAUCUAGGCGGUAAGACAAGUUGAAGGUGAAAACCUGUGGCUCAACCAUAGGCUUGCCUACAAAACUGUUGAACUAGAGUACUGGAAAGGUGGGUGGAACUACACGAGUAGAGAUGAAAUUCGUAGAUAUGUGUAGGAAUGCCGAUGAUGAAGAUAACUCACUGGACAGAAACUGACGCUGAAGUGCGAAAGCUAGGGGAGCAAACAGG
This 407-nucleotide ribosomal RNA is filed under the name Verrucomicrobiota bacterium. RNAcentral describes it as "Verrucomicrobia bacterium partial 16S ribosomal RNA". It matches the Rfam family "Bacterial small subunit ribosomal RNA", at positions 355 to 776 of the family's 1533-position model. The record is from RNAcentral. Lineage: Bacteria; Pseudomonadati; Verrucomicrobiota.